CAAUAGCGUAUAUUAAAGUUGUUGCAGUUAAAAAGCUCGUAGUUGGAUUUGUGGCGUAUGGUGUGUUCCGGGCACUUGUUGUCUGAGUAACUUGCCAUUGCCAUCCUUGGGUGGAACCUGUGUGGCAUUAGGUUGUCGUGCAGGGGAUGCCCAUCGUUUACUGUGAAAAAAUUAGAGUGUUCAAAGCAGGCUUAUGCCGUUGAAUAUAUUAGCAUGGAAUAAUAAGAUAGGACUUUUUUGCUAUUUUGUUGGUUUGCGCGAGAAGGUAAUGAUUAAUAGGGAUAGUUGGGGGUAUUCGUAUUCCAUUGUCAGAGGUGAAAUUCUUGGAUUUUUGGAAGACGAACUACUGCGAAANCANNNACCAAGGAUGUUUUCAUNAA
Molecule: ribosomal RNA, 380 nt
Filed under: uncultured eukaryote
Lineage: Eukaryota
Description: partial 18S ribosomal RNA
Rfam family: Eukaryotic small subunit ribosomal RNA
Source: RNAcentral